GACGAACGCUGGCGGCGUGCUUAACACAUGCAAGUCGAACGGAAAGGCCCUGCUUUUGUGGGGUGCUCGAGUGGCGAACGGGUGAGUAACACGUGAGUAACCUGCCCUCGACUUUGGGAUAACUUCAGGAAACUGGGGCUAAUACCGGAUAGGAGCUCCUGCUGCAUGGUGGGGGUUGGAAAGUUUCGGCGGUUGGGGAUGGACUCGCGGCUUAUCAGCUUGUUGGUGGGGUAGUGGCUUACCAAGGCUUUGACGGGUAGCCGGCCUGAGAGGGUGACCGGCCACAUUGGGACUGAGAUACGGCCCAGACCCCUACGGGAGGCAGCAGUGGGGAAUAUUGCACAAUGGGCGGAAGCCUGAUGCAGCAACGCCGCGUGCGGGAUGACGGCCUUCGGGUUGUAAACCGCUUUCGCCUGUGACGAAGCGUGAGUGACGGUAAUGGGUAAAGAAGCACCGGCUAACUACGUG
This 468-nucleotide ribosomal RNA is filed under the name uncultured bacterium. Its description in RNAcentral is "partial 16S ribosomal RNA". It matches the Rfam family "Bacterial small subunit ribosomal RNA", at positions 28 to 507 of the family's 1533-position model. The record is from RNAcentral.